UGAGGAAUAUUGCGCAAUGGAGGCAACUCUGACGCAGCCAUGCCGCGUGCAGGAAGAAGGCGCUACGCGUUGUAAACUGCUUUUAUCCGGGAAGAAACCCCUCCACGCGUGGAGGGUUGACGGUACCGGAGGAAUAAGCACCGGCUAACUUCGUGCCAGCAGCCGCGGUAAUACGAAGGGUGCAAGCGUUAUCCGGAUUCAUUGGGUUUAAAGGGUGCGUAGGCGGGAUAGCAAGUCAGUGGUGAAAUCCCGUGGCUUAACCACGGAAUUGCCAUUGAUACUGCUGUUCUUGAGUACGCUCGACGUGGGCGGAAUGUGCCGUGUAGCGGUGAAAUGCUUAGAUAUGGCACAGAACACCGAUAGUGAAGACAGCUCACGAGGGCGAAACUGACGCUGAGGCACGAAAGCGUGGGGAUCAAACAGG
This 424-nucleotide ribosomal RNA is filed under the name uncultured bacterium. RNAcentral describes it as "bacterial SSU rRNA". It matches the Rfam family "Bacterial small subunit ribosomal RNA", at positions 355 to 776 of the family's 1533-position model. The record is from RNAcentral.